UUUCCGUAGGUGAACCUGCGGAAGGAUCAUUAACAAAUCUAUUUCCCCUUCACAAUCAUCAUAAACCUGUUGCAAUGGCCGCGAAUGCGCAUGCAUGGUGCGCGCACCCUCGAGACAGUCGUCUUGCUGCGUUGUGUGCGCGCCUGCUGAGCUGCAGCGGAGGAAGGCCGCCGCCGCCGCCGCCGUGUCGCUGCUGGGUAACUGCUGCUGCAAGGUGGCAAGUGCCAAGCGUGCGCACGCGGAGGAGGAGAGGCCUUUACACACAUAAACCGACUAAGUGUAGUCUAACUGUUUGGUAAUGCGCGGCAAUAAAUACAACUAUUAACAGUGGAUCUCUUGGCUCCC
This 345-nucleotide unclassified non-coding RNA is filed under the name soil metagenome. RNAcentral describes it as "partial contains small subunit ribosomal RNA, internal transcribed spacer 1, and 5.8S ribosomal RNA". The record is from RNAcentral.